RNAcentral lists this ribosomal RNA (429 nucleotides) under uncultured bacterium. RNAcentral's name for it is "bacterial SSU rRNA". It matches the Rfam family "Bacterial small subunit ribosomal RNA", at positions 917 to 1359 of the family's 1533-position model. The record is from RNAcentral.
GGACCCGCACAAGCGGUGGAUCAUGUUCUUUAAUUCGAUGAUAACCGAUAAACCUUACCAGGUCUUGACAUCCUUGGAACUUUUUGGAAACAAAAAGGUGCUUUAUUGAACCAAGUGACAGGUGAUGCAUGGCCGUCGUCAGCUCGUGUCGUGAGAUGUUUGGUUAAGUCCAUCAACGAGCGCAACCCUUGUCAGUAGUUGUAUUUUUUCUACUGAGACUGCCCCGGUAACGGGGAGGAAGGAGGGGAUGACGUCAGGUCAGUAUUUCCCUUACGUCCUGGGCUAGAAACGUGAUACAAUGGCUAGUACAAUGCGCAGCGAAGCCGCGAGGUGAAGCAAAUCGCAUCAAAGCUAGUCCCAGUUCGGAUUGUAGGCUGAAACUCGCCUGCAUGAAGUCGGAAUCGCUAGUAAUCGCAGAUCAGCAUGCUG